RNAcentral lists this ribosomal RNA (520 nucleotides) under uncultured bacterium. RNAcentral's name for it is "bacterial SSU rRNA". It matches the Rfam family "Bacterial small subunit ribosomal RNA", at positions 8 to 518 of the family's 1533-position model. The record is from RNAcentral.
AGAGUUUGAUUCUGGCUCAGGAUGAACGCUAGCUACAGGCUUAACACAUGCAAGUCGAGGGGCAGCAGGACGAUAGCUUGCUAUGUUGCUGGCGACCGGCGCACGGGUGAGUAACGCGUAUCCAACCUUCCCCUUAGUAGGGCAUAGCCCGGUGAAAAUCGGAUUAAUACCCUAUGUUGUGUCAUGAGGACAUCUGAAUAACACUAAAGAUUUAUCGCUAAGGGAUGGGGAUGCGUCCGAUUAGGUAGUCGGCGGGGUAACGGCCCACCGAGCCCUCGAUCGUAGGGGUUCUGAGAGGAAGGUCCCCCACACUGGUACUGAGACACGGACCAGACUCCUACGGGAGGCAGCAGUGAGGAAUAUUGGUCAAUGGGCGUAAGCCUGAACCAGCCAAGUAAGCGUGCAGGAUGACGGCCCUAUGGGUUGUAAACUGCUUUUAUACGGGGAUAAAGUGAGGGACGUGUCCCUUAUUGUAGGUACCGUAUGAAUAAGGACCGGCUAAUUCCGUGCCAGCAGCGGC